RNAcentral lists this non-coding RNA (31 nucleotides) under Homo sapiens (human). Lineage: Eukaryota; Metazoa; Chordata; Mammalia; Primates; Hominidae. The record is from RNAcentral.
UGCUACUGAUUCCUCACACCCAGAUGGUAGU